RNAcentral lists this unclassified non-coding RNA (234 nucleotides) under fungal sp. Its description in RNAcentral is "partial internal transcribed spacer region". The stretch from base 1 to 46 matches the Rfam family "Eukaryotic small subunit ribosomal RNA", at positions 1786 to 1831 of the family's 1831-position model. Lineage: Eukaryota; Fungi. The record is from RNAcentral.
AAGUCGUAACAAGGUUUCCGUAGGUGAACCUGCGGAAGGAUCAUUAACAAAUUUCUAUACCAAACACACUUGUGAACUGUUAUCAUCUCCAUGGUGAAUUCCGUCCUGGGAUGCCCGGCAUUAAUUUGCUGUGCGCCUAGGUGGGCCACCAUGUUUAUUUACGUCUACUUAAAACUGUACUGAGACUUUAUUUUACAAUAAAGACAACUUUUAGCAACGGAUCUCUUGGCUCUC